This 717-nucleotide long non-coding RNA is filed under the name Oryza brachyantha (malo sina). RNAcentral's name for it is "long non-coding RNA (OBRA_LNC001411)". The record is from RNAcentral. Lineage: Eukaryota; Viridiplantae; Streptophyta; Magnoliopsida; Poales; Poaceae.
UUGUACUGGAUGCUAGCUAUUUGAAUUGGAGUUGAUAUUAUAGAGUUGGGUUGCUAACACACUUAUGGCUAAUCAUGGACUAAUUAGGCUUAAAAGAUUCGUCUCAAGAUUUAUUCCAUAACUGUGCAAUUAGUUUUUUGGUUCAUCUAUAUUUAAUGUUUUAUUUAGGUAUCCAAAAAUUUGAUGUGAUGUUUUUGGAAAAAAAUUUUGGGAACUAAACAAGACCUAACAGUAUGCUCUUUCAAAAUGAACAGAUGAAUCAUUCUUGAAUACAUAACCUUUGCCUUUGAGGACCGAGCGGUGCUCGGGUGGUCAGCCGCGCAGGCGCGCGAGCUGCCGGCGCGAGUUCGAUUCGUGAGGAUCGCAACUCGCGUCUCUCAUCCGGGGAUUUUCCCCUCAUACGCGUGUGCACCCCAAAAUCCUAAGCGUGUGGUAGGAACGCGCACACGUGUGUGUUCGUAUGUCCUGGUGUGUGUUCGUGUGCGUCUCGUGUUGUACCCUUUAAAAAAAAACCUUUGCCUUUGCCUUUGAUUCGAUGUCCACUAGACUUGAUUUUCAUGGAUAAGCUAGAUAUAGCCACAUAGGAGUCUGACAGUAUUGACAGCUGUGUCUGUCCAAUCCCAAAUGCACAAUGGGGUAACUCCAUAACUAUAUAGUACUAAGGUAUUUAUCCCUGGAUAGAACUACUUGGAUUAUUGUUUUUUCUAUUGGUUGUUG